CUGCCCGCCCCACCUGACUGCUUCCCAGAUAAGGUGUGGUCGCAGCUCACACACACCUGCCCCGGGGGUGGGGCAAGCUGGUUCUCCUCCCCUCCCCAACUCAGCCUUCUUCCCUCCGCACAGGUGAAGGCCUUUGGGCCUGGCCUGGAGCCUACCGGCUGCAUCGUGGACAAGCCCGCUGAGUUCACCAUUGAUGCUCGUGCAGCUGGCAAGGGAGACCUGAAGCUCUAUGCCCAGGACGCCGACGGCUGUCCCAUCGACAUCAAGGUGAUCCCCAACGGCGACGGCACCUUCCGCUGCUCCUACGUGCCCACCAAGCCCAUUAAGCACACCAUCAUCAUCUCCUGGGGAGGCGUAAACGUGCCCAAGAGCCCCUUCCGGGUGAACGUGGGCGAGGGCAGCCACCCCGAGCGGGUAAAGGUGUACGGCCCUGGAGUGGAGAAGACGGGCCUCAAGGCCAACGAGCCCACCUACUUCACGGUGGACUGCAGUGAGGCGGGGCAAGGCGACGUGAGCAUUGGCAUCAAGUGCGCCCCAGGCGUGGUGGGCCCUGCAGAGGCUGACAUCGAC
This 570-nucleotide small RNA is filed under the name Pan troglodytes (chimpanzee). RNAcentral's name for it is "retained intron". Lineage: Eukaryota; Metazoa; Chordata; Mammalia; Primates; Hominidae. The record is from RNAcentral.